RNAcentral lists this transfer RNA (76 nucleotides) under Alphaproteobacteria bacterium. RNAcentral's name for it is "tRNA-Phe". It matches the Rfam family "tRNA". From Rfam's summary of the family: Transfer RNA (tRNA) molecules are approximately 80 nucleotides in length. Their secondary structure includes four short double-helical elements and three loops (D, anti-codon, and T loops). Lineage: Bacteria; Pseudomonadati; Pseudomonadota; Alphaproteobacteria. The record is from RNAcentral.
GCCCGGGUAGCUCAGAUGGUAGAGCAGCGGACUGAAAAUCCGUGUGUCGCUGGUUCAAUUCCGGCCCCGGGCACCA